Long non-coding RNA from Dermacentor silvarum, 431 nucleotides. RefSeq lists it as uncharacterized. Lineage: Eukaryota; Metazoa; Arthropoda; Arachnida; Ixodida; Ixodidae. The record is from RefSeq and is a predicted model, not a curated record. The transcript has 4 exons.
AGCACUGUGUCGUCGGCAAUUAAUUCUCAAGCUGCCAUUUUAUAUGUCGACGUAAUUGCUCCUCGCUAUAAGAGUGCGGAAGUGCACGUUGUGUGGAUUACACGGGCCAUAGCUUUGACUUUAGGUGUUGUAAUGACGGUAUACAGCACCGUAUGCCUGUACAUGGGAUCAAUAACAACGAUAUUUUUGAUGGUCAAUACCGGCUUGACGGCACCGUUCGUUGGAUUGUGUCUCCUUGGUGUUUUAUUUCCCUUCGUACACUCCAAGGGUGCGGGUGUGGCGACGCUCAUCAUGGUCGUUUAUCAGCUCAGCCACACGGCGAAUAUGAUGGUUCGUGGAAAGAGGCCACAAAGGAUGCCGGUGUCGCUUGACAGCUGCCCAGGAAAUCUCAGUCUGCGUGUGGAAGGCAUGAACAUCACAUCUUUGCAGGA